RNAcentral lists this unclassified non-coding RNA (212 nucleotides) under Hevea brasiliensis (rubber tree). The record is from RNAcentral. Lineage: Eukaryota; Viridiplantae; Streptophyta; Magnoliopsida; Malpighiales; Euphorbiaceae.
GACCGACAUCACCGGCACGGUGACUGAUUGCGCCUGCAAGCCCGCGGCCAAGGUGCGCAGCUUGCCCGUCCCGUUCCGCCACGCUCCGCAAACCCCGAAAGCCCUUGCUCCGGCGCCCGGCCCCGUGUGACAGUUGCGGCAUGGCCGCCGUCUUUCGUCAGCUCUUCGUCGAUUUCUUCUCCACUAUCGUCUUCCUCGUGGUCUAUGCCGCG